Peromyscus leucopus (white-footed mouse) is the source of this 77-nucleotide small nucleolar RNA. RefSeq annotates it as small nucleolar RNA SNORD112. The transcript has a single exon. The record is from RefSeq and is a predicted model, not a curated record. Lineage: Eukaryota; Metazoa; Chordata; Mammalia; Rodentia; Cricetidae.
UCAUCCAAUGAUAGGACAGUGUCUAUGAACAAAGGAUCAUGAUUAAUCUGGUUCUUUAUGAAAUCCAGAGGUCCAUU